This is a long non-coding RNA of Octodon degus (degu), 383 nucleotides long. RefSeq lists it as uncharacterized. The record is from RefSeq and is a predicted model, not a curated record. Lineage: Eukaryota; Metazoa; Chordata; Mammalia; Rodentia; Octodontidae. The transcript is spliced from 4 exons.
CGACCUCGCCGGCCGGAGGUCCGGUGCGCGCCCGCCGGAUCUGGUGCUGCUUAAAUGCAGCCCUGAGGUCAGCGCCUUACUCUUUUGUGGAUUGGGCCGCCCCCGGAGUACUGCGCAUGCGUGCCUCCCGACGGCCGAUUGAACGCGGAGGCUUCCGUAGGGGGCGGGGAGAAAGAUGGCGGCGGCCGUGCUGCGAGAGCUGGGUACAUUAUGGAUACAGAGCCUGAGAGGCCGGGGGCUGCUGGCUUCGGGGCUUCUCCCAUCGCACAGCGCUUCGCCCCAGUCACACAUCCACACGAGUGCUCCUCUUGACAUUUCUCGCAAGUGGGAGAAAAAGAAUAAAAUUGUUUAUCCUCCACAACUGCCUGGCGAACCCCGCAGAC